GUAGGUGGCAAGCGUUGUCCGGAAUUAUUGGGCGUAAAGCGCGCGCAGGCGGGCCUUUAAGUCUGAUGUGAAAGCCCACGGGCUCAACCGUGGAGGGUCAUUGGAAACUGGGGGACUUGAGUACAGAAGAGGAAAGCGGAAUUCCAAGCGUAGCGGUGAAAUGCGUAGAGAUUUGGAGGAACACCAGUGGCGAAGGCGGCUUUCUGGUCUGUAACUGACGCUGAGGCGCGAAAGCGUGGGGAGCAAACAGGAUUAGAUACCCUGGUAGUCCACGCCGUAAACGAUGAGUGCUAAGUGUUAGGGGGUUUCCGCCCCUUAGUGCUGCAGCUAACGCAUUAAGCACUCCGCCGUGGGGAGUACGGCCGCAAAGGCUG
This 374-nucleotide ribosomal RNA is filed under the name uncultured organism. Its description in RNAcentral is "partial 16S ribosomal RNA". It matches the Rfam family "Bacterial small subunit ribosomal RNA", at positions 527 to 896 of the family's 1533-position model. The record is from RNAcentral.